This 3148-nucleotide long non-coding RNA is filed under the name Homo sapiens (human). RNAcentral's name for it is "HSALNT0086771". The record is from RNAcentral. Lineage: Eukaryota; Metazoa; Chordata; Mammalia; Primates; Hominidae.
UCCUGCCUCAGCCUCCCCGAGUAGCUGGGAUUACAGGCGACUGCCGCCACCACGCCCGGCUAAUUUUUUAAGUAUUUUUAGUAGAGACGGGUUUCACCGCGUUAGCCAGCAUGGUCUUGAUCUCCUGACCUCGUGAUCUGCCCUCCUCGGCCUCCCAAAGUGCUGGGAUUACAGGCGUGAGCCACCGCGCCCGGCCGACCCCUGUAGGGUUUUAAAGGAGAGAGGCAGCAUCCCAGAGGGCAAAAAGGGCUUCAUUCAUGGAGAAAGCAACUGAGCUGGGCAGAGCACAGACGGAAUUUGAAUUGGAGGCCAGAGGCAAAGGGAACUCCAAGUGGAAGAAGAAACGGCAUGAAAAAAGGGAUUGAGAAGGAAAAGGACAAGAUGGUUUGGAGAGAGAGCAACUUCAGCCUGGAAAAGCAGAAAUGAGAUGCGGCCAAGAAAAAGACUCCAGCCCAGCCUGCCUUGGUUCUAACCCUGACUGUUACUUAACCUCUUUCUGGCUCAGUCAAGAAACUUGAGCACUGCAAGAUGAUCAUGUGGAAUACCUACUUCAAACGGAUGUUAAGAGGAAAGAUUCAGGCUUUAGCGAUGACUGGAGGGUCAUUCGCUGGAAAGAAUUUCAUCAGUUGGAACUAAAUCAUGGUGAGCAAAAGAAAGUCUACCUAAGUGAUAUGGUUUGGCUCUGUGUCCACAUCCAGAUCUCAUCUCGAAUUGUAAUUCCCACAAGUUGUGGGACGGAGGUGAUUGAAUCAUGGGGGCAGGUGCCCCAAUGCUGUUCUGGUGAUAAUGAGUGAGUCCCCAAGAGAACUGAUGAUUUUAUAAGGGGCUCUUCCCCCUUCACUUUCUCUUCUCUCUCCUGCUGCCUUGUGAAGCAGGUGCCUGCUUCGCCUUCUGCCAUGAUUGUGUUUCCUGAGGCCUCCCCAGCCAUGCAGAACUGUGAGUCAAUUAAAACUCUUUUCUUUAUAAAUUACUUAGUCUCUGGCAGUUCUUUAUAGCAGUGUGAGAAUGGACUAAUACACUAAGUUACUUCCUGAGUAGACCAAUGGCCUCCAUUCCCUCUGUCAAACAUACGACACUGACCCUGAAGGUAGCUUGGGCUGGCUGGGGAUGCACUCUCUGUAUGGCCCUGGUGCAUCACCUCCCCCACCCACUUCCACCCUCCCUGCUAAUGUGGAGUGUGUGUAGAGUGCACAGUUACAAUGAGGCCGUUGUGACAGUCCUGGUCACUGUUUUGAUCACAUGAUUUUUUAUUUUGUAGAUGAAUGAAAUACAAGUACAACAAGAAAAAGUUUCUGUAAAAACUAAGUAGUGCCUCACUUUGGAGUCGGCUGAGAAGAUCAUUCCAGACGGGAGUUUUGACACUGUACAAAUGCACUGUCUUCACAUCUACGCUGACACCCCUGCCUUUCUACCUGCAGGUGUCUGUGGCUUACAAGCUGGUGCCUCCCACAGACCCUGUAGUUUGGAGCUAAUGAAGAGCUGAGAAGGUAGGUUUGGCUGUGACUAGAGAGCAGGAACAACCUCUCCACAGGUCAUUCCUUUCUCCAGGCAUGGAACCGUCUUACAAACCUGGGCUGAGGGUUCAUUGCCUCUAAAUGUAGAAGCAAAGACUAAAUUCAAAAGGCAAGAACUACUUAAUGAAAACAGAAACUCCACUACAUACGUGUUUCUUCUGCCUAUCCCAUGGAGUCAGAGAGGUGGUGGAUCUAGCAGAGACAGCUGUAGACCAGGGGUCAGAAGACUUGGGUCCUCAUCCUGAUUCUACCACUAACUAGCUGCAUGACCUCAGACAAGUGACUUGUCUGCCCUAGACCAGGCAGGGUUGGACAGUUAGCCCCAAAGUCCCUUCUAAUGCUAAAAUUCUAAGAUUGUACCCUGCCAGCCUUAGGAGGCUAUGCUGUUACUACCAGUGCCUGGCACAUAGCAGGCACUAUAUAAAUGUUAAUUAUCAUUAUUAUUAUGUAAAGGCACAAUGCAUGCCUUUAUAUGUAAACGUGGAUUCUUCCCCAUUAUAACAAUGAAUGAUCUAGAAGCAAAUUAUAACAACAGGGUAUAAUCAUAAGCAAUGAAGACUGUAAUUCCUACCGGUCUUCUUCUCAGCACAAAUGAAUAAAGCUUUUCCCCCCUCCCCCUCCAGUAAUUGUUGGAGGUGGUUCUUGGAUCCAAAUCCCAAGCCCUUCCAGAAUAUCUGCAAUUGGAGAACGGGUCAUUCAAUCAAAAGACUGUAGACUGUACUGUGAUGUAAAUUUUUUUCUUCCCCACUGAAAAUCCCAGGCCAGGCAUGGUGGCUAACACUUAUAAUCCCAGCACUUUGGGAGGCCUAGGUGGGCAGAUCACUUGAGCUCUGAGCAAUACAAUGAGACCUCGUCUCUACUAAAAAUUCAAAAACAAUUAGCCUGGUGUGGUGGCACAUGCCUGUAGUCCCAGCUAUUCAGGGGGCUGGGGGCUGAGGUGGGAGGAUCACUUGAGUCUGAGAGGCCAAGGCUGCAGUGAGCCCUGAUUGCACCACUGAACUCCAGCCUGGGUGACAGAAGAAGACCUUGUCUCAGAAAAAAACAAACAAGCAAACAAACAAAAAACUCAAUGCAGGUUGGGAAUGAGAACUGGGAUUCAGGAUUUGGAGUUUCCUAAUAUAUUUUGCCUUCUUCCCAUGAUAUAUACAGUGUAUAAACCUAGUAUGAGGAAGGAACAGUUGUCUAUCAAAAUGGUAAAUGGCAUUCAGUCUUAAGUUUCUAAAUAAAGUUAGCAAUUAUGGGUAUGGCCAAAUGUGGGUGCUUGCCAUAACCUCUGGGGCCUCACCAUUUCCAGCUACCAGGAUCUGCAACUUUUUGCCUGAGGGUUUUCUCAGAAGACACAGAAACUGUUCUGCCUAUAAGCCUUGAAGUGCCAGGGAAUUAACACCUACCUUCCCACAGCCCUCCCCACAGUGACUGAUAGCAUUGAUAACGAUACCCAAGCUUCACCCCUCAGGUGGGAUAACUGAGCUGCUUGUUCUAUACCAUGUUCUAGAGUUUCUCCCAUGAGUUUAGGUUCUAAUCAUCCACAUGUAAAUUGCUUGAUAAGAAACCUUCAUUGACUCCUUGUCUCACUUCCCCUCCCCUUAUUUGUUUUGUUUGCACCUUUCAAAUAAACUAUUUUCAUUCAAAUC